AUGGCGGCGGCGGCGGCGGCGGAGGGGUCCGGGGCAGAGGGCCGCGGCGAGGCCGGCGGCGGCGGCAGGCGGCAGCAGCAGCAGCAGGGGCUGGCGGAGCGCCGGAUGCUCCGGUCCCAGUACCACGCCAUGAAGAGCCUCAUCAACGAGGAGAGGGAUGACAUGGCGAAGGAGGACUCCGACAAGUUCGCCUCCAUCAUCACGCAGGUGGAGAGCUUGCACGAGCAAGUGCAGAGACCCAGGGAGCAAGUAGCGGAUGCAGAGGCUCUGCUGGACAUCACAAGCACGUUGGUAAAAUCCGUGAGGUCCCAGUCAAGUGAAGGAAUCACACCUUCUGAUUUCGUAACAGCAUUGCUGAAGAAAUUUGGGCAGCAAGCAACCCUUGAUUCCGAGCCUGUCUCGUUGCGCUGGGCUGAUGUUGGGCUUUCUGCUUCACAUGUCUUCAGGGCUGCGCCUGGAUGCUGCACCAUGCUUGGACCCAUGGAUACAGAAGUAAAGCAGCGUAAGCUUUCAGUUGUUAGUAGAAAAAGAAGUGCCAGGCCAACUGAAAAUACUUGUCCAGAAGAGCUUGCCGAUUCUUCGGAGGGAGCAAAGACAGACACUGACCGGAAUGUGACUGUUGUAUUUGAUAUCCUGAGGAAAAAUAAGCGUGCGAGGCUGGAGACCCUUGUUUUGAACAGACAAUCAUUUGCCCAAACGGUUGAGAAUGUUUUUGCACUGUCUUUCCUAGUUAAAGAUGGCAGAGUGGCAAUAAACAUUGAUGACAAUGGGCACCAUAUAGUCUAUCCACGAAAUGCGCCUGCUGCUAGUGCCAUAGCGUCAGGAGAAGUGUCCUACAGCCAUUUUGUUUUCAGAUAUGAUUACAGAGAUUGGAAGCUUAUGAAAGAAGUCGUCCCUGAAGGGCAAGAACUGAUGCCGCACAGGACGGCGCACAGCCUCUCUGCUGAAGAGCGAGAACAGAUGGAGCCAUGUGCGCAACGAACACCGAUAAGGAAACUUUGCCGGAACCGAGGUUUGGUUCUUCAGGAGCAGAUGGUUGUUGCAGAGACACCCGAGGAGGACAGAAGCUCCAAACGCAAGCGUCUAUUCAUAGAUCAGGAGUGA
This 1104-nucleotide ribosomal RNA is filed under the name Triticum aestivum (bread wheat). RNAcentral's name for it is "partial small subunit ribosomal RNA". The record is from RNAcentral. Lineage: Eukaryota; Viridiplantae; Streptophyta; Magnoliopsida; Poales; Poaceae.